CAGAACGGCACCCAGAGGUCGUGGGACUUCAUGAAGAUGCACGACAGUGUGACCAUUCUCCUGGUCAACGCUUCCCAUGGAGCCCGGUGCUGCUGGAGCAAUUCGGCCAGGUGGAGCGCCGCUUCCCGGGUUCCUGGUGACGGUGAACGCGGACAGG
This is a long non-coding RNA of Eptesicus fuscus (big brown bat), 157 nucleotides long. RefSeq lists it as uncharacterized. Lineage: Eukaryota; Metazoa; Chordata; Mammalia; Chiroptera; Vespertilionidae. The record is from RefSeq and is a predicted model, not a curated record. The transcript has 3 exons.